RNAcentral lists this ribosomal RNA (387 nucleotides) under uncultured bacterium. RNAcentral's name for it is "bacterial SSU rRNA". It matches the Rfam family "Bacterial small subunit ribosomal RNA", at positions 28 to 419 of the family's 1533-position model. The record is from RNAcentral.
GACGAACGCUGGCGGCGUGCUUAACACAUGCAAGUCGAACGGUAAGGCCCUUCGGGUACGACGAGUGGCGAACAGGUGAGUAACACGUGGGUGAUCUGCCCUGCACUUCGGGAUAAGCCUGGGAAACUGGGUCUAAUACCGGAUAGGACUCCUGGCUUCAUGGUUGGGGGUGUAAAGCUUUUGCGGUGUGGGAUGGGCCCGCGGCCUAUCAGCUUGUUGGUGGGGUAAUGGCCUACCAAGGCGACGACGGGUAGCCGGCCUGAGAGGGUGACCGGCCACACUGGGACUGAGAUACGGCCCAGACUCCUACGGGAGGCAGCAGUGGGGAAUAUUGCACAAUGGGCGCAAGCCUGAUGCAGCGACGCCGCGUGAGGGAUGACGGCCUUC